AGUGAACGCUGGCGGUAGGCCUAACACAUGCAAGUCGAACGGCAGCACAGUAAGAGCUUGCUCUUACGGGUGGCGAGUGGCGGACGGGUGAGGAAUACAUCGGAAUCUACUUUUUCGUGGGGGAUAACGUAGGGAAACUUACGCUAAUACCGCACACGACCUACGGGUGAAAGCAGGGGAUCUUCGGACCUUGCGCGAUUGAAUGAGCCGAUGUCGGAUUAGCUAGUUGGCGGGGUAAAGGCCCACCAAGGCGACGAUCCGUAGCUGGUCUGAGAGGAUGAUCAGCCACACUGGAGCUGAGACACGGUCCAGACUCCUACGGGAGGCAGCAGUGGGGAAUAUUGGACAAUGGGCGCAAGCCUGAUCCAGCCAUACCGCGUGGGUGAAGAAGGCCUUCGGGUUGUAAAGCCCUUUUGUUGGGAAAGAAAAGCAGCAGGUUAAUACCCCGCUGUUCUGACGGUACCCAAAGAAUAAGCACCGGCUAACUUCGU
This 491-nucleotide ribosomal RNA is filed under the name uncultured bacterium. RNAcentral's name for it is "partial 16S ribosomal RNA". It matches the Rfam family "Bacterial small subunit ribosomal RNA", at positions 29 to 506 of the family's 1533-position model. The record is from RNAcentral.